GAGCAAACAAAAGUAACUUUCAACGACCGAAUGAUCAUUCAGACUCUGUUUCUAUUGAGAGAUAAAAGGGGUCAGUUCUCUAAAAUGAGUCUCUCUGGGGAGAGACAGGAGGGGUACCCUGUCUCUAAAAUAAGUCUCUCUGGGGAACAUGACACCAAAUCUAAGAGUCCAAUCAAGCAGGAGAGACCAGCCUCCCGUGUUCCCAGCUGUGUGUCCAUGAAGAGUGACCGGUCUAUGCUUGAACCUAUAUCCUUU
Molecule: non-coding RNA, 255 nt
Organism: Salmo salar (Atlantic salmon)
Lineage: Eukaryota; Metazoa; Chordata; Actinopteri; Salmoniformes; Salmonidae
Source: RefSeq, a predicted model, not a curated record